UACGUAGGGGGCAAGCGUUGUCCGGAUUUAUUGGGCGUAAAGAGCGUGUAGGCGGUCAGGUAGGUCCGUUGUGAAAACUCGAGGCUCAACCUCGAGACGCCGAUGGAAACCAUCUGACUAGAGUCCGGAAGAGGAGAGUGGAAUUCCUGGUGUAGCGGUGAAAUGCGUAGAUAUCAGGAGGAACACCGAUGGCGAAGGCAGGUCUCUGGGCUGACACUGACGCUCAUGCACGAAAGCGUGGGGAGCAAACAGG
Molecule: ribosomal RNA, 253 nt
Filed under: uncultured bacterium
Lineage: Bacteria
Description: partial 16S ribosomal RNA
Rfam family: Bacterial small subunit ribosomal RNA
Source: RNAcentral